This 291-nucleotide ribosomal RNA is filed under the name uncultured bacterium. RNAcentral's name for it is "partial 16S ribosomal RNA". It matches the Rfam family "Bacterial small subunit ribosomal RNA", at positions 335 to 625 of the family's 1533-position model. The record is from RNAcentral.
UGCCCUACGGGGGGCAGCAGUGGGGAAUAUUGCACAAUGGGGGAAACCCUGAUGCAGCGACGCCGCGUGAGUGAAGAAGCGUUUCGGCGCGUAAAGCUCUGUCAGCGGGGAAGAAACACGGUUCGCGAGAGCCGCGGACGGUACCCGACCAAGAAGCCCCGGCUAACUACGUGCCAGCAGCCGCGGUAAUACGUAGGGGGCAAGCGUUAUCCGGAUUUACUGGGUGUAAAGGGAGCGUAGACGGAAAGGCAAGUCAGAAGUGAAAACCCAAGGCUCAACCAUGGGACAGCU